RNAcentral lists this ribosomal RNA (292 nucleotides) under uncultured bacterium. RNAcentral's name for it is "partial 16S ribosomal RNA". The record is from RNAcentral.
GGACUACAGGGGUUUCUAAUCCUGUUUGCUCCCCACGCUUUCGUGCCUCAGUGUCAGUGCUGGUCCAGAUAGUCGCCUUCGCCACUGGUGUUCCUCCCGAUCUCUACGCAUUUCACUGCUACACCGGGAAUUCCACUAUCCUCUACCGCACUCUAGUGAUCCAGUAUCAAAUGCAGUUCCCAGGUUGAGCCCAGGGCUUUCACAUCUGACUUAAACCACCACCUACGCACGCUUUACGCCCAGUAAUUCCGAGUAACGCUUGCACCCUUCGUAUUACCGCGGCUGCUGGCAC